UACGGAGGGUGCAAGCGUUAUUCGGAAUUACUGGGCGUAAAGCGCGCGUAGGCGGCUUACUAAGUCUGAUGUGAAAGCCCUGGACUCAAUCUAGGAAGUGCAUUGGAUACUGGUAGGCUGGAGUACAGGAGAGGAGAGCGGAAUUCCAGGUGUAGAGGUGAAAUUCGUAGAUAUCUGGAGGAACAACAGAGGCGAAGGCGGCUCUCUGGACUGUAACUGACGCUGAGGCGCGAAAGCGUGGGGAGCAAACAGG
RNAcentral lists this ribosomal RNA (253 nucleotides) under uncultured bacterium. RNAcentral's name for it is "partial 16S ribosomal RNA". It matches the Rfam family "Bacterial small subunit ribosomal RNA", at positions 524 to 776 of the family's 1533-position model. The record is from RNAcentral.